RNAcentral lists this ribosomal RNA (301 nucleotides) under uncultured bacterium. Its description in RNAcentral is "partial 16S ribosomal RNA". It matches the Rfam family "Bacterial small subunit ribosomal RNA", at positions 509 to 807 of the family's 1533-position model. The record is from RNAcentral.
CAGUAGCCGCGGUAAUACGAAGGGUGCAAGCGUUACUCGGAAUUACUGGGCGUAAAGCGUGCGUAGGUGGUGGUUUAAGUCCGUUGUGAAAGCCCUGGGCUCAACCUGGGAAUUGCAGUGGAUACUGGAUCACUAGAGUGUGGUAGAGGAUAGUGGAAUUUCCGGUGUAGCAGUGAAAUGCGUAGAGAUCGGAAGGAACAUCUGUGGCGAAGGCGACUAUCUGGGCCAACACUGACGCUCAUGCACGAAAGCGUGGGGAGCAAACAGGAUUAGAUACCCGGGUAGUCCCUGUCUCUUAUAC